Molecule: unclassified non-coding RNA, 245 nt
Filed under: plant metagenome
Description: partial contains small subunit ribosomal RNA, internal transcribed spacer 1, and 5.8S ribosomal RNA
Source: RNAcentral
UCUCCGUUGGUGAACCAGCGGAGGGAUCAUUACCGAGUUUACAACUCCCAAACCCAAUGUGAACGUUACCAAACUGUCGCCUCGGCGGGGUCACGCCCCGGGUGCGUCGCAGCCCCGGAACCAGGCGCCCGCCGGAGGAACCAACCAAACUCUUUCUGUAGUCCCCUCGCGGACGUUAUUUCUUACAGCUCUGAGCAAAAAUUCAAAAUGAAUCAAAACUUUCAACAACGGAUCUCUUGGUUCUG